Molecule: long non-coding RNA, 1569 nt
Filed under: Gossypium barbadense (sea-island cotton)
Lineage: Eukaryota; Viridiplantae; Streptophyta; Magnoliopsida; Malvales; Malvaceae
Description: long non-coding RNA (GBAR_LNC019522)
Source: RNAcentral
GUCUUUAAUAAUAACAACAUAAUUAACCCUUAAUCGAAUAUCUACCUCUACCUCAAGUAACUCUUUUACAGCAUUUCAUUUCAAAAUCUACAGAAUAACAGAACUAUAUCAUACCAAACUUGCAAUUAAUAAUCCCCAAAAUAAGCAGGAACCAGAACAUAUCAAGAACAAUAUCAAAACAGACUUCACAAUUUCCAGUUUCAUCUUCUACUCACUAACAACAACUAAACAAUUUCUAAAUUGAAAAAACAGCACUAACAACAUUUUCCAUUGUAAACUCUUUCAAACAACAGCAGUGUAUCACAAAAAUGCCUGAAUUUAAAUGGCAAUUCACAAGUCUGGAUCAGUCAUUAAGCUAACUUAGAAAAUAAUGCUGUAAUUGCUCACUGCCUCAAGUCUGCAGUUAAGCUUAUUAACUUUGAUUGCAACCAAAAUGAACCUAAUGGUUCUGUACUACUACCUAUGAACUAAUAAACAUAGCUUAAACAACUUCAUAUAACAUACUUGCAUGCCUUAAAAGUCUUUGGAUUACAUAACAAAGGAAAAGAAACAACAAUCUUCCAUGUAUCAGAUGUAAGAUAUCUAUCAAACCCAACACCAUUCCACCUAAGCUAAGCAAACUGGAACCAAAUCUAGCCAAAAGAGCAGAGCAUUACUAACAACAAAAUAUAAACAGACCAAACAGACCAAGACACAACAACAACUAAAAUUAUGCAAAUAAUAUUUGUUUGGAAUUUGAGCAGAUUAAAUAUGCCAAACAACAACUAAACAAUCAUAAAGCUCAUUAGCAUGCCAAAGAACAAAAACAAAAGAUCGAAAGCAGUUAAGUAGGAAUAGCAAGGGAGAGCAGAUUUGUCCCCUCAAGUUUCUCUUCACAAAUCGCAGAUGAGUUUUACUUGGGGAGGAAAACUAACCUGUGUAACCAGGGAAAUCGGGGAAGAGUUCGAUGAACAACAACCUGUAAUGAGAAAAGGGAAAUCGAUUAACUCAAACAAAUAAUGCAAUACAGGCAAGAACCGAAACAAACUAUUUAGCCCUAAAAUUAUGUCUUUCAAUCGAACAUGCAAAACAAACUUUGGAAAAACCUCUGGAAAAUUAACUGAGUGAAUGCAAAAUCGGGGAAGAGUGAGAUGAAGAAGGUGUCUGAAAUAAGAAAAGGGAAAUCGAUUUGGGUUAGUGAACAAUUAAAAUACAACAGCAAAUCGGUUCCUCCUUCUUGAUAAAAUGAAGAAAAUCAAAGAAACCCUAAACUCAAAUCAAUGACGGACUGAGUGGAAGGGAAAAGAAAUUACCUGUGCAAGGAGGCGUCGGAGAAUCAGAAGGUUGAGGACGAUGGCAAAAAAUGGAAUAGCAGAAAAGGGGAAAACACGGAUUAGGCAAUCAGGGAUGAGGGAGCGUAAUAGUUAUUACGCGCAAUAACUACAUAGGGGGUAACCGAUUACACGCGGAAUGGGGUUAUAGUGAACUAAACGGCAGUUUAGCAGUGGGCCCGCUGCAUAGGGGGGAAUACGCAUGCAUUCCCCCAACCAAACGCGUUGUAAUAAUAUUAAAAGGUAUGUCAAAAUUUUU